Molecule: ribosomal RNA, 91 nt
Filed under: uncultured bacterium
Lineage: Bacteria
Description: partial 16S ribosomal RNA
Rfam family: Bacterial small subunit ribosomal RNA
Source: RNAcentral
CCGCCCGUCACACCAUGAGAGUUGGUUAUACCAGAAGUCGCUGCGCUAACUUCGGAAGCAGGCGCCCAAGGUAUGAUCGAUGAUUGGGGUG